Molecule: ribosomal RNA, 395 nt
Filed under: uncultured bacterium
Lineage: Bacteria
Description: bacterial SSU rRNA
Rfam family: Bacterial small subunit ribosomal RNA
Source: RNAcentral
GUGUCAGCCGCCGCGGUAAUACGUAGGGGGCGAGCGUUGUCCGGAUUUACUGGGCGUAAAGCGCGUGUAGGCGGCCUCAUAAGUCGGGUGUGAAGGCCCGGGGCUCAACCCCGGGAUGCCGCCCGAGACUGUGGGGCUUGAGGACGGAAGAGGGGAGUGGAAUUCCUGGUGUAGCGGUGAAAUGCGUAGAGAUCAGGAGGAACACCCGUGGCGAAGGCGGCUCCCUGGUCCGUCCCUGACGCUGAGACGCGAAAGCGCGGGGAGCGAACGGGAUUAGAUACCCCGGUAGUCCGCGCCGUAAACGAUGGUCACUAGGUGUGCGAGGUAUCGACCCCUCGCGUGCCGCCGCUAACGCAGUAAGUGACCCGCCUGGGGAGUACGGCCGCAAGGUUGAA